CCCUUAGAUGUCCUGGGCUGCACGCGCGCUACACUGAUGUGUCCAGUAAGCACCUAACCUCUUCCGAAAGGAACGGGUAACCUUUGCAAAGCACAUCGUGAUGGGGAUAGAUUAUUGCAAUUAUUAGUCUUGAACGAGGAAUUCCUAGUAAGCACAAGUCAUCAGCUUGUGUUGAUUACGUCCCUGCCCUUUGUACACACCGCCCGUCGCUCCUACCGAUUGAAUGUUCCGGUGAGCUCUUCGGACUGCGCGGUCUGCAGUUUCUGCGUUCCGUGCGGAAAGUUGCGCAAACCUUAACAUUUAGAGGAAGGAGAAGUCGUAACG
RNAcentral lists this ribosomal RNA (324 nucleotides) under uncultured eukaryote. Its description in RNAcentral is "partial 18S ribosomal RNA". It matches the Rfam family "Eukaryotic small subunit ribosomal RNA", at positions 1470 to 1796 of the family's 1831-position model. The record is from RNAcentral.